AUAUUUAUUGAUCUUCCUUCAAUAGGACGGGCUUUGGCCUCAUCACAGAAGAUGCUUUAUGGUGUAAGCAGAGGGGAAAUUGUGGAUGCCCAAAUUAUAUCUGAAGUUUACACCUUCCGAAUUGCAGUUGAGGGGCUGAGAAUUGCCCUAAAUAGUGCUGGUAGGUUACCUAUCAAAAGCUUGGGGAAGCCUAACAAAAAUAAGGUUGAGUUUUCAGAGCUUCCAGUUGAAGACAAGUCACAUGCACUCCUUGCACAGGCCCUUCGUACUCAGACUAGGAAGCUCAAGACUAUAGUAGCUUUAGUAGAUGCUAGUAACUUGGCAGGUCUCAGGAAACACUGGGACACUUCUGUGCCCCCAGAAAUCAAGGAAUUGGUUGGCGAGCUUGCCACUACUUUUGAAUUGGAUGGGGACUUUUCAAAUCAGACAGACAAGAAGAGUCUAUUUUCUAGUAAAUCUGUAAUGGCAGUUGGAGCUGGAGCAACAGCAGUCUUAGGAGCUUCAUCUCUCUCUAAAGUGGUUCCCACAUCAACAUUCUUCAAGGUUGUAACAUUUAAAUUGCCUGCUUCUCUUAAUUUUGUGCUAACCCAAACUCAGAAGACUAUGGCAAUAGCUCUAAGCAAGACUCUUGGUCCAAAAGUAGUUGCCCCAGGACUGGCAAACUCUGGAGCCAAUGCGACAUCUGUGUUAAAAGCAGCUGCUUCUGCUGAGAAAAUACGGACGGUGGCCCACAGCAUUAUAGCCUCUGUUGAGAAGACCAGUUUUUCAGCCAUGAGAACAGCAUUCUAUGAGAUAAUGAGAAAACGACAGGUCCAACCCAUAGGUUUCCUGCCUUGGGCAACAUUUGGUUGCAGUAUUGCAACGUGCUCAGCUUUGCUUAUGUAUGGAGAUGGGAUUGAAUGUGCUGCUGAAUCUGUUCCUGCCGCCCCUUCAAUUGCCAGUUUGGGUCGUGGGAUUCAAAAUUUGCAUCAGGUAUCUCAAGAAGUGGGGCAGAAGGAUGGCACCAGAAUACAAAAAGCCAUAGAGUCACUGAUGUAUAGUUUGAGGAAAGUAAAGAUUCAAUAGAGUACAAAUCUUCUCUUCAUUGUAUACUAGAAGUGAUUGCCCCUAAAUUUAGAGAAUUCUUCUGUAAAUAAUGCGUAUACAUUGGGGUUUUU
RNAcentral lists this unclassified non-coding RNA (1157 nucleotides) under Hevea brasiliensis (rubber tree). Lineage: Eukaryota; Viridiplantae; Streptophyta; Magnoliopsida; Malpighiales; Euphorbiaceae. The record is from RNAcentral.